Molecule: long non-coding RNA, 533 nt
Organism: Ctenopharyngodon idella (grass carp)
Lineage: Eukaryota; Metazoa; Chordata; Actinopteri; Cypriniformes; Xenocyprididae
Exons: 4
Source: RefSeq, a predicted model, not a curated record
UAUAUGACAAAAGAAUAAUAAAUAAAUUGGUCAAGUACUAGGCUUAGGCCUAAAUUAUGUCUAUUUAUUUAUAUGAAAUGAACUUGAAUGAAUGUUUUAUUUGACCAGUUGGACUCUCUCUUUUUCAAGAAACACACAAUCCAAGAAGGAAGAUCCUUUCCUGGACUAUAGAGAUGCACCACAUGCUGCAAGGAGUUCCUCUGCCCGUUCUGCAGCUCUGCUUUGUUUCACCCAACAAAGUUGAGCAAAGUGAAAUCCCAUUUGGAGAGUCAUUUCAAACACAGUUCUCCAUGAAGACCAUCAUAUAUGGUCUGGCUGGGCUGCAGAAUUUCUCUGCGGGAUGUUGAGAAGACCUUCUUCUCUGGUCUGGAUUAUCAUCACAGUGAAGUGGAAGAAAAGAGAAAAGAGGGGAGAACAUCUGUUGGAGUCAGUGAAGAGAUUGUCGCUGAAGUUCUUCUGUGUGGUUCACGUCAUGAACAAAUUUGUUUUUGUGUGUUCAACUGUUGUAAUAUAUUAUUUUAUAAAAUAUACAC